Molecule: transfer RNA, 76 nt
Filed under: SAR324 cluster bacterium
Lineage: Bacteria; Deltaproteobacteria
Also listed under: 1 other name
Description: tRNA-Gly
Rfam family: tRNA
About the family: Transfer RNA (tRNA) molecules are approximately 80 nucleotides in length. Their secondary structure includes four short double-helical elements and three loops (D, anti-codon, and T loops).
Source: RNAcentral
GCGAGAAUAGCUCAGCUGGUAGAGCGCAACCUUGCCAAGGUUGAGGUCGCGAGUUCGAACCUCGUUUCUCGCUCCA